GGGCGCUUAGCUCAGUUGGCUAGAGCAUCUCGUUUACACCGAGGAGGUCGGGGGUUCGAAUCCCUCAGCGCCCACCA
This 77-nucleotide transfer RNA is filed under the name bacterium. RNAcentral's name for it is "tRNA-Val". It matches the Rfam family "tRNA". Rfam says of the family: Transfer RNA (tRNA) molecules are approximately 80 nucleotides in length. Their secondary structure includes four short double-helical elements and three loops (D, anti-codon, and T loops). The record is from RNAcentral.